This is a long non-coding RNA of Triticum aestivum (bread wheat), 838 nucleotides long. RefSeq lists it as uncharacterized. The transcript is spliced from 3 exons. The record is from RefSeq and is a predicted model, not a curated record. Lineage: Eukaryota; Viridiplantae; Streptophyta; Magnoliopsida; Poales; Poaceae.
CCUCCUCUCCCACCACCCCACAAAUAGCUAACCUCCUCCCCUUCCUCCCACUUAAAAAAAAGCUAACCUCCUCCCCGUACCCACUUGCUCCUAAUUUUCCUCUCCGUCUCCACAAUCAUCUCCUCGCCACCCUGGUUCUCGGAUCAAACGCAGAUCAAGGCUCCCGGGAUGCUUAUCCUGGAGCAACGUACUGAAAUGCAGAGUCGAGAAAGAAUCAUUAACCCCUCACCCAAAUCUUUCUUGCAGGAAAUUUUGGAUUUGAUUUCGUACUAGGUGGUGCCACCGGGGGCCACGAUCUGGAGCGACGGGGAGGACGUAUGGAACACCGACCUAUCCAAGUUCGAGAUCCGGGCCAGGUUCGCGUCUGGUACGCCGUCCUCAACGUCGCCAUCAAGAUGGUGAGCCAGCUAGAGCUGGAUCCCGCCAUCGCCGCCUAGUUCGAGCGCAGCCUUCGAGGUCUCCCUCUGCCUCCGCCACCAGAACAUCAUCACCGGCAGGAACAAUGCGAGGUUAGGUGCGUCUCCUUUAUGGACGACAGCAGUGACUCGGCCGCACUAAUGCAGCGAAUAUAAUGCAAGAUGCAGUACUGAGAAGUCAGAUGGAUCUAAAUUGCCAAGAACUGAUGAUGCUUGGGUCAGAUGUUGAUGGCAAUGUCGAGAAUGUGGCCACUAUUAGAUAAUUAGAUGUCAAAUUUAGGGUCAACGUUUCAACCAUUGUAGUUGAUUGCAAGGUUGACAAUUGGGCUACUACUAGAUUGUUUCACAUCUUGUAAUCUUUGGAAUGUGUUCUUUUGUAAUGCAACACAAUUGAUUUAAUACAUGAGACCUUCUGUUCAUUA